CCUCAUUCCGAAAAUACAGUUGAGGCCCUUUUUCCCCCGUCUUCUCUCGUCCUUUUGCCGACUCUGUCUAGCUCUCUCUUUUCUCCUCUUCAUAUUACCGACUGUCUUUCUCUUCCUUUUCUUCUCUAUUUUUUCCUGGUUCUGCAGAUAAGAAAUAAUAAGGUGAGUUGAGGUGAGGUCUCUUGGGCCUAAAUUUGUCCUAAGAAAGGCCCUUUUGUUAUAGAUGGUGAACGAUGUAAUAACCCAAACCUCACCACCGAAGUGGACACACGCACGCAUGCACGCGCACACACAGAGCAUAUGGAGAUUCCCAGUGAGAUGAGGAAUUUUAAUAAGAUUGUCCUUGUCAUUUUAGAAUCAGUUCAUUGUCUCUCUUCAUCAGAAUAAAGCAGAAAUAGAAAGCAAGUAAAGCAGAAGAAACGGCGAUGAUCUAUGAAUAGAAAGAAGGCGUACCGUUUUCCGUAGAGAAUCCCCUGUUUCUUUCAGAGUCCCCUGUUUCAAUUUCAAAGUCCGUCCCUUGCUCUGAUCUAUUCAAAAUCUUC
RNAcentral lists this long non-coding RNA (542 nucleotides) under Eucalyptus grandis. RNAcentral describes it as "long non-coding RNA (EGRA_LNC004234)". Lineage: Eukaryota; Viridiplantae; Streptophyta; Magnoliopsida; Myrtales; Myrtaceae. The record is from RNAcentral.